Plodia interpunctella (Indianmeal moth) is the source of this 1070-nucleotide RNA transcript. RefSeq lists it as uncharacterized. The record is from RefSeq and is a predicted model, not a curated record. Lineage: Eukaryota; Metazoa; Arthropoda; Insecta; Lepidoptera; Pyralidae. The transcript is spliced from 7 exons.
UAAAGCGUGACAGCAGAUUUUGUCGUCACAAUUAUUAUGUGCUAAGUGAAUAUAUUUUUCAAACCACCAAAAACAUACUAUGCGCCCCGUUUUCGUAUACAAAAGAAUCCCCCAAUACUUCAAAAAUGUAAAAAGAAUUGUUUGGUAUAUAUAUUACACAUUCUGAAGAUACGAUGAGUAACAAUGAAGCAAUUGUCAACUGCUUCGAAAGUUAUUUGGAUGAUCUAGUGGAUAGUUUCCAAGAUUUCAUUCAAAAAUCUUUACUUCUGAUUACUAUAGGUAUUGGGAGUCUGAUUGGACUCCUCCUAUAUUUCAUUAAAAGUUGUAAUCGGGAAAAUUUGACGGGUUUGAACACACUGGACGCACUAGACACACCCACCACGAUCACCUCAUCAAAUCGUAGUAAUACCACUGUAUCGAAUGAAUACAAUGACGAAAAAAAUGAAUUAAUAAACAAAGGCGAAAAUACAAUAAGGAACAGGUGCUGCAGCAGCGCUUGUGGAAAGUCAAGUGCUAGCAUGUUAACCAAAUUGUUGAGUACGACAAAGAAAGAAACAAAUAAUAUGGGAGUAGCCUGUCCACCGGCAGACGAAUCGUUGGAACCUAUGAUAUUAAAGAAGGCAAAGCACAAUGAAGGACUUUCUAUUUUCAGAGCUGUAUAUCGAGAUUUCGUGGCUCUUCUAAUCCUAGAAUCACUCUUCCCAGUUUACCGUCCUGUCCUUCGACGCCAUGUGUUAUGCCUAAUAUAACUAGAAGUUGCUGUUCGUUGUGUUGUGAGCAAACCUAAUUCGACCGUCAAAAACAUUGCAUAUACUCGUAAUAAAAAGUUUUGGGUCAUAUAAAUUAUUGUGGACAUUAAAUACCCCAAGAACUCAUUUAAAAAUUAAGUAGAUAAUAAUGCAAUGUGGACUAUAUCAGUUGUGACCGUAAGUAUUCUACGAAGAUUGAUUCAAAAUUUAUGUGAUUUGUUUGAGGGUGCGCAUAGAAUGUUAUUAUAACUGUUUUGUUUUGUUAUAAUAUUAUUAUUGAAAUUAUUUUAUAAUGUCUUGUAAGUACUUGUUAAUAAAGGA